Molecule: ribosomal RNA, 403 nt
Filed under: uncultured Anaerovibrio sp.
Lineage: Bacteria; Bacillati; Bacillota; Negativicutes; Selenomonadales; Selenomonadaceae
Description: bacterial SSU rRNA
Rfam family: Bacterial small subunit ribosomal RNA
Source: RNAcentral
AGUAGUUUGAUCAUGCUACGAGGACGAACGCUGGCGGCGUGCUUAACACAUGCAAGUCGAACGGGAAGACAUUUCUAACACCGAGUUACUAAAGUGAUGCUUUAUAUAAGUGAUUGAUACUUUGGUGGUUCGGUGUUAGAAAUGGAUUAUAGUGGCAAACGGGUGAGUAACGCGUAGGCAACCUGCCCUUUAGAUGGGGACAACAUUUCGAAAGGAAUGCUAAUACCGAAUGAUGUGCGUUGGUCGCAUGACCGAUGUACCAAAGGCCGGGCAACCGGUCACUGAAGGAUGGGCCUGCGUCUGAUUAGCUUGUUGGUGGGGUAACGGCCCACCAAGGCGACGAUCAGUAGCCGGUCUGAGAGGAUGAACGGCCACAUUGGGACUGAGACACGGCCCAAACUCC